This is a long non-coding RNA of Serinus canaria (Common canary), 585 nucleotides long. RefSeq lists it as uncharacterized. NCBI's taxonomy places the organism in Eukaryota, Metazoa, Chordata, Aves, Passeriformes, Fringillidae. The transcript has 5 exons. The record is from RefSeq and is a predicted model, not a curated record.
UGUCCCCACACGCUGUGCCCGCAGCCACUCCUCCCGUGGGUGCCCGGGGCAGCACCCAGGGCACCUCGGAGGUUUUGGUGAUCCCAUGUACAAGGGGAAAAAGAGGAAACUAUCACUUGUUCAGAAGACUGUGCCCAGGAUUCAUGAUAAUAAUCCAGACAAGACUUGCAUGUUUUCUGCUCCAUUCUUUGGGUCAAGAACACACUGGUUAAUAGCCAAUUAUUUCAUACCCUAAGGAAAUUUUGGCAAAGAAGUUCCUGGGAAGAGUCAACUUGUUUUGGGAAAUGAGACUAAUAUUCACUGUCCAAAUUCUGAAGCCUGCUGAAAUUUUCCUGGACUGCCUAAACCAGAAUGUGCAGUUCCAGCUAAGAUAUCUGAAGGCACAAAGAGCUGAAGAAGGCUGGGAUGCAGGGGAAGGGAGAGGCCAGGAUUGUCACCCAGAGCUCCAGAGCAGGUGUGCCUGGGCAGGUCAGGCUCCAGCACUGCAGUUAAGGACCGAGGUGACAUAUAACCCUUUUUUAUACUCAGCUGGAAGUUGUGGUUGAAAAUCCCCACUCUCAACACCCCCAGGCCCCAUUCCAGACU